This 455-nucleotide ribosomal RNA is filed under the name uncultured bacterium. RNAcentral's name for it is "bacterial SSU rRNA". It matches the Rfam family "Bacterial small subunit ribosomal RNA", at positions 340 to 784 of the family's 1533-position model. The record is from RNAcentral.
UACGGAAGGCAGCAGUGGGGAAUAUUGCACAAUGGGCGAAAGCCUGAUGCAGCUAUGCCGCGUGUAUGAAGAAGGCCUUAGGGUUGUAAAGUACUUUCAUCGGGGAGGAAAAAACAAAACUAAUAAUUUUAUUUCUUGACGUUACCCGAAAAAGAAGCACCGGCUAACUCCGUGCCAGCAGCCGCGGUAAUACGGAGGGUGCUAGCGUUAAUCAGAAUUACUGGGCGUAAAGAGCACGUAGGUGGUUUUUUUAAGUCAGAUGUGAAAUCCCUGGGCUUUAACCUGGAACUGCAUUUUGAAACUGAAAUACUAGAGUAUCGUAGAGGGAGGUAGAAUUCUAGGUGUAGCGGUGAAAUGCGUAGAUAUCUGGAGGAAUACCUGUGGCGAAAGCGGCCUCCUAAACGAAUACUGACACUGAGGGUGCGAAAGCGUGGGGAGCAAACAGGGAUUAGAUA